GUCUACAGCCAUGCCACCCUGAAUGUGCCCAAUCUUGUCUGAUCUCAGAAGCUAAGCAGGGUUGGACCUGGUUAGUACUCGGAUGGGAGACUACCUAGGAAUAGCAGGUGCUGUAGGUG
This 119-nucleotide ribosomal RNA is filed under the name Pteropus alecto (black flying fox). The record is from RNAcentral. Lineage: Eukaryota; Metazoa; Chordata; Mammalia; Chiroptera; Pteropodidae.